Molecule: long non-coding RNA, 658 nt
Filed under: Physcomitrium patens
Lineage: Eukaryota; Viridiplantae; Streptophyta; Bryopsida; Funariales; Funariaceae
Description: long non-coding RNA (PPAT_LNC012505)
Source: RNAcentral
UAGAGUUUGGUUAGGAUUGCAUUUAGGAUUUAGGGUUUGAUUUAGGGUUUGGUUAAGGUUUGAUUUAGGAUUUGAUUAGAAUUUAGUUUAGGAUUUAGGAUUUAGUUUAAGGUUUAGAGUUUGAUUAGGAAUUGAUUUAAGGUUAGGAUUUGGUUAGGAUUUGAUUUAGAGUUUAAGAUUUGGUUUAAGAUUUGGUUAGGGUUUGAAUUAGGAUUUGAUUAGGAUUUGAUUUAGAAUUUGGUUAGGAUUUGAUUUAGAAUUUAGGAUUUGGUUUAAGGUUUAGGAUUUGACUUAGAAUUUAGGAUUUGGUUUAGGAUUUAAGGUUUAGUUAGGAUUUGAUUUAAGGUUUAAGAUUUGAUUUAGGAUUUAAGAUUUUAUUAGGGUUUGUUUAGGAUUUAAGAUUUAAUUAGUUUUGGCCUAAAGUUUGAAUGAAGUCCAAUAGAAUUUUAACUAGGAUUAAAUUAAGAUUGAAUUGAGAUAUAUUUGAAAUAUUUUGUGAUGAUUCUAAUAUUUCUUUAAGAUUUUUUAUUGUUUCUUUGAAAUUUCUUUGAGGUUUCUUUGAAUUUGAUUAAAACUUGCUUAGUAUUAUUAUGGUCUAAUUAGAGUUUAGUUAGUAUUCUAUUAGAGUUAGGAUUUUGUUGUUUGCAUUUUCCAUUCU